AAUCAUCAUUGGGGUAUCUAGUUUAAAAAAUUCGUAAGGGUUCCACGGAACCCAGUGUCUCGCCUACUCAACAAAAAUGAGGAAAAACAUCAAUAAAAAUUUCCCUCUCGAUACUGUCUUUUGAUUGAAAGAAGCUUCCAAGUUUGGUAAAAAAUCCAGGAUAGUUUAUGAAUCUAAUAAAUGUUUUAUAAACUUUAACUGCAGACUGUUAUGUAAUAGUAACUGAAAGAAAAACUAAGUCCAUUUACAA
RNAcentral lists this long non-coding RNA (250 nucleotides) under Mytilus galloprovincialis (Mediterranean mussel). The record is from RNAcentral. Lineage: Eukaryota; Metazoa; Mollusca; Bivalvia; Mytilida; Mytilidae.